UCCAUAUUGAUUUGAGUUUAAUAACAAAAUUGGGUGCCUUUGUUUUUGCAUGUGUUAUUGCAUUUUAUAUAAUAGAAGUUUUUCCCGUUUUGUUGUUAGGAGCGCUUCUGUGACAGAUGAAAAAACAUAAUCUAGCCUGGCCCCAAAGACAACCUGAGGAGUACGGAGCUGCCUCUUCUCUUCUAGGCACAGAAGGAAUUGAUGCUUGUGAUUUUCUCUGGUUUGAAGACAAACACCGGCACCUCUGCGUGUCAAGGCCCAUCCCAGAUCCUACAGAUCAAGUCACAGAGGAAGCCCUGCCCUUGGGGUCAUUUAUCCAAAGUGUACACGGACCUGAAAGGAGAUCUGAGAAGCAGAUGAAGUCUGUCCAGGACUUGGAGAGGAGAAUUUGCAGCAUAAAGGGAAAGGUUAGUAAAAGGUAUGAGAAACA
Molecule: long non-coding RNA, 430 nt
Organism: Acomys russatus (golden spiny mouse)
Lineage: Eukaryota; Metazoa; Chordata; Mammalia; Rodentia; Muridae
Exons: 3
Source: RefSeq, a predicted model, not a curated record